RNAcentral lists this microRNA precursor (60 nucleotides) under Echinops telfairi (small Madagascar hedgehog). RNAcentral describes it as "miRNA (ENSETEG00000023653.1)". Lineage: Eukaryota; Metazoa; Chordata; Mammalia; Afrosoricida; Tenrecidae. The record is from RNAcentral.
UGAGUGUGUGUGUGUGUGUGUGUGUGCGUGUGUGUGCGCACUAGAAGCCAGGCUAAGGCA